This 492-nucleotide ribosomal RNA is filed under the name uncultured bacterium. RNAcentral's name for it is "partial 16S ribosomal RNA". It matches the Rfam family "Bacterial small subunit ribosomal RNA", at positions 29 to 507 of the family's 1533-position model. The record is from RNAcentral.
AGUGAACGCUGGCGGUAGGCCUAACACAUGCAAGUCGAACGGCAGCACAGUAAGAGCUUGCUCUUACGGGUGGCGAGUGGCGGACGGGUGAGGAAUACAUCGGAAUCUACUUUUUCGUGGGGGAUAACGUAGGGAAACUUACGCUAAUACCGCAUACGACCUACGGGUGAAAGCAGGGGAUCUUCGGACCUUGCGCAAUUGAAUGAGCCGAUGUCGGAUUAGCUAGUUGGCGGGGUAAAGGCCCACCAAGGCGACGAUCCGUAGCUGGUCUGAGAGGAUGAUCAGCCACACUGGAACUGAGACACGGUCCAGACUCCUACGGGAGGCAGCAGUGGGGAAUAUUGGACAAUGGGCGCAAGCCUGAUCCAGCCAUACCGCGUGGGUGAAGAAGGCCUUCGGGUUGUAAAGCCCUUCUGUUGGGAAAGAAAAGCAGCAGGUUAAUACCCCGCUGUUCUGACGGUACCCAAAGAAUAAGCACCGGCUAACUUCGUG